This 366-nucleotide ribosomal RNA is filed under the name uncultured bacterium. RNAcentral describes it as "bacterial SSU rRNA". It matches the Rfam family "Bacterial small subunit ribosomal RNA", at positions 28 to 396 of the family's 1533-position model. The record is from RNAcentral.
GACGAACGCUGGCGGCGUGCUUAACACAUGCAAGUCGAGCGGUAAGGCCCUUUCGGGGGUACACGAGCGGCGAACGGGUGAGUAACACGUGGGUGACCUGCCCUCAGCUCUGGGAUAAGCCUGGGAAACCGGGUCUAAUACUGGAUAUGACUCCAUGACGCAUGUUGUGGGGUGGAAAGCCUUGUGCGGCUGAGGAUGGGCCCGCGACCUAUCAGCUUGUUGGUGGGGUGAGGCCUACCAAGGCGACGACGGGUAGCCGGCCUGAGAGGGCGACCGGCCACACUGGGACUGAGACACGGCCCAGACUCCUACGGGAGGCAGCAGUGGGGAAUCUUGCGCAAUGGGCGAAAGCCUGACGCAGCGACG